AUUGAACGCUGGCGGUAUGCUUUACACAUGCAAGUCGAACGGCAGCGCGGGCUUCGGCUUGGCGGAGGGUGGCCAACUGGCGGGUGGUACAGCGAAACAUCGGCAGCUACUUUUUCUAGGGGGGCAACGGCCGGAUUCAUACGCCAAUCCCGCAUACGACGAACGCGUGGAAUCAUCGGACCUUGCGCUCUUGCGGCGGCCAAUGGGCGGAUGGCGGAUUAGCUAGUUGGCGGGGUAAAGGCCCACCAAGGCGACGAUCCGUAGCUGGUCUGAGAGGACGAUCAGCCACACUGGGACUGAGACACGGUCCAGACUCCUACGGGAGGCAGCAGUGGGGAAUUUUGGACAAUGGGCGAAAGCCUGAUCCAGCAAUGCCGCGUGGGUGAAGAAGGCCUUCGGGUUGUAAAGCACUUUUGUCGGGAAAGAAAAGGACUGUGCUAAUACCACGGUGUGAUGACGGUACCCGAAGAAUAAGCACCGGCUAACUUCGUG
RNAcentral lists this ribosomal RNA (492 nucleotides) under uncultured bacterium. RNAcentral describes it as "partial 16S ribosomal RNA". It matches the Rfam family "Bacterial small subunit ribosomal RNA", at positions 30 to 507 of the family's 1533-position model. The record is from RNAcentral.